UACGAAGGGGGCUAGCGUUGCUCGGAAUCACUGGGCGUAAAGGGCGCGUAGGCGGCCCCGCCCGUCGGGCGUGAAAUCCCCGGGCUCAACCCGGGGCGGUCGCCCGGGACGGCGGGGCUGGAGGACGGGAGAGGGCCGCGGAAUUCCCAGUGUAGAGGUGAAAUUCGUAGAUAUUGGGAAGAACACCGGUGGCGAAGGCGGCGGCCUGGCCCGGACCUGACGCUGAGGCGCGACAGCGUGGGGAGCAAACAGG
RNAcentral lists this ribosomal RNA (253 nucleotides) under uncultured bacterium. Its description in RNAcentral is "partial 16S ribosomal RNA". It matches the Rfam family "Bacterial small subunit ribosomal RNA", at positions 524 to 776 of the family's 1533-position model. The record is from RNAcentral.